This 73-nucleotide transfer RNA is filed under the name Salmo salar (Atlantic salmon). It matches the Rfam family "tRNA". Rfam says of the family: Transfer RNA (tRNA) molecules are approximately 80 nucleotides in length. Their secondary structure includes four short double-helical elements and three loops (D, anti-codon, and T loops). RNAcentral also lists the same sequence under 1 other name. The record is from Rfam by way of RNAcentral. Lineage: Eukaryota; Metazoa; Chordata; Actinopteri; Salmoniformes; Salmonidae.
AUAUCCUUGGCACAGUCGGUAGAGAAUGGCACUUGCAAUGCCAGGGUUAUGGGUUUGAUUCCCAUGGGGGACC